UACGUAUGUCGCAAGCGUUAUUCGGAUUUACUGGGCGUAAAGCGCGUCUAGGUGGUUUGGCAAGUCUGAUGUGAAAAUGCGGGGCUCAACUCCGAAUUGCGUUGGAAACAGUCAAGCUAGAGUACGGGAGAGGUGGGCGGAACUACAAGUGUAGAGGUGAAAUGCGUAGAUAUUUGGAGGAAUGCCGAUGGCGAAGGCAGCCCACUGGACAGAUACUGACGCUGAAGCGCGAAAGCGUGGGUAGCAAACAGG
RNAcentral lists this ribosomal RNA (252 nucleotides) under uncultured bacterium. Its description in RNAcentral is "partial 16S ribosomal RNA". It matches the Rfam family "Bacterial small subunit ribosomal RNA", at positions 524 to 776 of the family's 1533-position model. The record is from RNAcentral.